AACGCACGAGACCUGCGGACCUGCGGAGGGAUCAUUUCUGGGUAUUUUUUGAUAAACUUGUGAACACGAGUUCGAGUUCACGAGGGUUAACCGAACCAAAACACCUAUUGAACACACGGUAUUUAUCUGAAUUAGUAGUUAAUUAUUAAAAACUUUUAACAAUGGAUCUCU
Molecule: unclassified non-coding RNA, 171 nt
Filed under: soil metagenome
Description: partial contains 5.8S ribosomal RNA, internal transcribed spacer 2, and large subunit ribosomal RNA
Source: RNAcentral